CACUGGACAGAGACUGGGCGGAGGCCAGCAAGCAGAGGAGGACCAGGCCCCAGAAGCUCUGCCCAUCUUUGCAGUUGUGGUUUUGUUGUGUACAUGCAUCUCAGGGACGAGCCCGGGGGUCCAAACCCCGCUGUUAGGGGCCCAGGGGUUGUUUGGCAAUGCUCAGAGACACUUUUGGCCGUCACGCCUGGGGGUCAGCUCAUUUGGCUGGUAGAGAGAUUUCGCUAAAUGUCUUACUAUGUACAAGACGGGCCCCAAACCAAGACUUUCCCAGACCACGAUGUCAGGGGGCUGAGGGGCACACUCGGAGGCGGCUCUCCUGCCUUGCCUGGGGUCCGUAGCAGGUAGGCGUGUGCUGCCAGGGAGGCCCCAGGAGCAGCUGCCCCCCCUUCCUGCGGGAGGUGACAUGAGGUUAGAGGAUGUAGCAGGCAGGGCCGCUGGGACAGUUCGCCUGCAGGGAGCGGAAGGAUUGCACAGGGGCUUCCGGGGGUGGCCUUGGCCGGGUCAGUGGGGGCUGGGGCAGGGCCAGGCUGCCUGGACUGUGGUCCAGGGCUUGGCGAGUGCAGGGAUGGCGGAGCUGGUCCCCCUCUGGGCCCUGCCACCCCACAGCCUCCAGGUGGUUCCAGCCUCAGGAGGGUUGGAUGGGGAGGAGGCAGGGAGGGGCCCCCUUGAACGCUGUUUGCUCAGCCAAGGUUUAAUCUCCAAAACAGGAAGGCUCAUGUUGACAGAAGCAGCAGCCGGAAUUGCCACUGCGCCUGCCAGGUUAAGUCUCCAGCCCCCACUCCUGUCCCCAUGCUGGGGGCCUCCCCAGAGACCCAGCCCUCAAGUAGAAUACUCCCACCCCCCACAGCCCCUAGGCUGUGCCACUUGAUGCCGACCAGGGCCCGCAGAAAGGGCCCCGCGGCCAGCUCUGCCAGCUGCAGGGGGAUUGGAGCGGGGGUGGGGGCGGAGGGUGGCAGGGAGGACAGGAAAGUGGAGGGAAUUGGGGGCUCAGGGCUCGAGGUCACAGGCUUAGCAGGGUGUGUCUCCUGGUCUCACUUUGCAGAUGAGGAAGCUGAGGAGCAGAGACAGAAGCGAGCUGGCCGGGUCCCACCGUGGCAGGAUGAGGGUGGUCGGCCCAGCCCCCGCCCCCUUCCCCGGUUCUGAAACUCCCUCUGACGAGCAGAGAAGCCCCAGACGCCUGCCGGGCACCCCUCCCCAGCACACUCGGGUCGGGGAGGGCCUGGCUCAGGGCUCGGCGCUGGGGAGACCGUGAAGGUUUGCCGAGCCAUCCGCUGACGUCAGGUCUCCCCACUGCCAGAGGAAGCCGCAGGACCUGGCCGGGUGGGCACACGGAUGUCACCGGCAGAGCCUAGAGGCCUUUCUCCUCCCAAGCAGCUGACUGGCCAGGACCGAGGUUCCGGGGCAGGGCUGAGGAGGCCUUCCACCCCCGGGAGUCCCCGCACCUCUCCGAGCCAGCUUCCCUGGUGUCUGCUUGGGGGUGGGGGUGGGGGGUGUCCAGAAAGUGCUGGACAAUGGCGGCAGCCAAAUGGAGCUGAGUUUGCUGGACACGAGUUUGCCAAGAGCUAGAAGGGCCCUUACAAUGUUAAGUCCCCUUUCGCAGGGGGGAGGAUGGAGGCCACCGAGGGCGAGCCCCUCCCGCAUGUCUCUCGCACCCCAGGAAAUCCUGCAGCCCUGUGGGACCCUGGCUCCGGCCCCCGCCUCCCACAGGUCUGCCAGAGGCAGAGGCAGGGAGGUGAUGGUAGAUGGCCUCGGGACACAGGUCGGAGUCACUGCUCCAGAAGGAGCUCCUGGCCAGGCCUGGCUCUCCCUGGCCACCCCAGCCAGCACACCAAGCAGGGACUGGACAUUCCCAGGCCAAUGGUGGCCGGUGGCUGCUCCAGGAGGGGAGGGAUCAGGUAGGCCGGACCCCAUACCCCCGCCUGCAGCAUGGCCUAUGGGCACCUCUCUGGGUGUGGGGAGAGAGGGUCCCCAGUCUUGGCUCUGCCCCCAGCUCCACCUGAGGAUCUUAGGCAGGCCGUAUGUCUCUCGAGGCACCGGCUGCCCACACUCGAGGCCCCCUUGGGGCUCCGAGGCCAGGCCCUGCCCCCGCAGGGCUGGACCCUGGCAGAUCUUCAGGCCUGGGGCAUCCUCAGGGGCUGCCCUGUCUCCACCUGCUAUUCCUGUCACUCUACCCCAGUGGCUCAGUUUCCCUUGUCAUCUACGCCGGUGGGGGGGGACCUGGGUGGACAUAGUCCCCCUUGAGGCGAGGGUGGAGGUGGAUCGGGUGUCCCAGGCGGGGCCCUCUGUGGCUGGGGCGGGGGCCAUGGCUUUCAGGUCCUCAAUAGCCCACGGUUGGGUUCCGUCCCAGGGGAAGCCCCUGCGGUGUGGCCAUUGUGAUGGGCGUGGGAACGGAGGCAUCCUGGCCAGACAGGGAUGCGCCUCGCUGCCCACAGGGGCCCCGCCAGGCCGGAGCCGAGGUGGGAGCACGCGAGGCGCAUGUACACACACGCACACACGCGCGCACACACACACGCACACACACGCACACGCACGCACAUGCACACACAUGCACACUCACAUGUGCAUACAUGCGCACAUGCACACGCUCACAUGCUCGCACACGUGCACACUCGUGCACACUCACACGCGUACACACAUGCAUGCACACCGGCCGAUGCGGGGGCUUGGCGCUUGGGGAAACUUGGCGCCCACGUGCCAGCAGGACGUGUAGGCGCCAGGUCCUCAGACCCCUGUGGGCACCUUGCCAGCCACCCGGUGCCACGGCUCGGGGAGAGUCACUCGUCCUUCACAGCGAGGUGAGCGGAGUGUGGCUGGAUUUCAGGAGUUUAUCCCUGGUCGCUGCACACGCGUGCGUGGCAGCCCUGACACUGCCCCCCGGCCGGCCCCCCUCUUCGAAACUUCCUUCGGCCUCUCCUGCCCCUCUCUGCAGUGUCCUCCCCCAACCCCCUGCUCGGGUGGCAAGGCGUGCCCUCGGCUGACAAGCCGCAGGCCGGUCCCUGUGGCGAUGACAAGGGAGCGGGCUGAUUUCAGGUCCUCGCGGCAAGGCGCCGUGGGGGAAUGAGUCGGGCUGUUGGAGGAGAGGGGACGAGAUGUCUCAGCUUCCCUGGGCCUGAAAAUGCCCACGUUUGUCUCUAUCACCCUCCCCAGCUGGGGUUCCAAGGAACUACUCUGUGAGGCCGCCGUGCCCAGCGUGGCAGAGAGAGGCCCGGACACACGUGUGUGUAGACGUGUAUGUGACUUCGCACGUGUGGAUGAGCCCGCGUGGGCACUGGAUGAGUAAGGGCACGGCAGCCGCAGGUCUGCACGUGUGAGCCGGUGGGAGGGGGGCUGUGUGCAGAGGACACGUGUGUCCAUGUGUACGCACGCCCGGAGCCGGCCCCGCAGCCCUCACGGGCGCCCUCCGUCCUGCAGAGCUGCGAAUUCGGAAGGGGGAGGUGGGUCAGGCUGGCCUCAGCCUCAUCCCCCAGGGAGGUGGCCAGGCCGAGGUGGGAGGCUGAGGCCAGGCCAGAGCGCGGGGCGGGGCUGUGCCAGGGUUGGUGCUUCCUGUCCGGCCAGUGGUGGCAACAUCGGACGGAAGGUUGGCCCCCAUCAGGAAGGCACUGCCCAGAGCAGGGGGGCUUCUGGAGGCCGAGUCCGCUUUCCCCAAGUUCAUCCUGAGCCUCCGCUGCUCCCCUACGGCCCCAGCUGCCUCCCUUCCCGGAGUGAGUUGAGUGGAGAGUCUCCCUCCUCCUGCUCAUGGCCAGAGCGGGCACGGACGCGGCUCUGUCCCCUGCACCUGCCUGGCUGAAUCCCUGCUGCCUUGUGUCCCCAGUAGACCCUGAGACGGGCAGGGCUUGGUCAGGGACACACACCCAGCCCAAAGGUGCAGCUGGACCCAGGAGGCCCGGCUCCCCAUCAGGGCACUCACGGUGUGGCAGCCCCAGCCCUCCCUGGACUAUGACUCCAGAAUGUGCCUCUGGCUGUUCAGUUGCUCUGUCCCCCUGAGCUUGACUUUGGACUGGGUGCGUCCUCCCAGGGCCAGGCCUGGUGGCUCCUCCAGACACAGAAAGAGAGGCCGAAGGUGAAGGACGGCCCGUACCGAGGCCGUCAACAGCUGGAAGCAUCAUGGAGAUGCUAGGUUCCCUGCUGGACCCUGGGGAUAGAACAUGAGACAGACCCAGCCCUGCCCACUGAAGCGCACACUCGCCCCGGGGGCCAGGAGACGGUGUCAGCAAACAGAUCGAGCUCCGCGAGGGGCAGCACGAGAAGAGACGGGGCCAGGCUGAGCCCAGGAGGGAACCACUUUGCGAGGAAAUGGAUGAAGUGACACCUGGGCCAAGGCCCAGAGGGUGUCACAAAGUACACGGGGACGUCAUCCAGCAUGGCGCUGGGGUCGACCGGGCCCCCUCGCGCCCCCCGCCCCUUCACGGAGCCCCUCUGCAGUGCCGUCUGCAAGCGAGCGGGAGCUGGUCAGGCUGCAGACAACUCAGCAGGAGUCGAAGACCCCGUCGGGCGUCUGGGGUGUCUGUGGGAGGUGUCGGGGGGAGGCUUGCCCCCCGCCAGGCUCCUCUCCCAGGCCCUCGCCCCUCCCUCGCCCGCCAGGUUCUGGGACAGGAGCCUUCCCCGAGGCCCUUUCCCCCAUAUCAGUGUCCUAGGGCUGCUGCAGCAAACGACCCUGACCUUGGCUUAAGACAGCAGAUGUCUGUCGCCUGGAAGUCUGGGGUCGAGGUGUCUGUGGGGUCGGCUGCCCUCUGAGGCUCAGAGGGAGGUUCUGCUUUCAGCUUCUCUCCCAGCUUCCAGUGGCCCCGACCAUCCUUGCUGUUCCUGGGCUCGUGGAUGCGUCUCGAUCUUGGCCUUCAUCGUCACCUGGCUGUCUUCCCUCUGCGUUCAUGUGUCCUCUCCCGUUCUCAGAGGACACUGGUCACUGGAUUCAGAGCCCAUGCUAAAUCCAGGAUAAUCCCAUCUCAAGACCCUCCAGUCAAUUACAUCUGCAAAGGCCUUUUCUCUAAAUAAGGCCCCCUUUCCACAUUCUGGGGGCUAGGACUUGACCUAACUUCUGUGGCCACCAUUCAACCUGGUGUACUCCCAAAUGCCAGGGAUCGGGGAGGUCACGUCUCCCCUCACUACCAAACCAGCGUCCCUGCUUUCACCACAGCAGACUCGGGGCCCAAUGGGACCCCGGACACGUGCAUGUCGGGAUGGCAGACGUGGGGUGGUAACAGAGAGCGGGCAGCGCCAAGCCUGCCCACCAAGAGCGCGGCCUGUGGUUGCCACGCCCACGUGGAACGAAUGGACAGACAGGGACCCGGCGCCAAGCACCUGCCCCACACAGGGCUAGGGGGGC
Pteropus alecto (black flying fox) is the source of this 5326-nucleotide RNA transcript. RefSeq lists it as uncharacterized. NCBI's taxonomy places the organism in Eukaryota, Metazoa, Chordata, Mammalia, Chiroptera, Pteropodidae. The transcript has 2 exons. The record is from RefSeq and is a predicted model, not a curated record.